Molecule: ribosomal RNA, 210 nt
Filed under: uncultured bacterium
Lineage: Bacteria
Description: partial 16S ribosomal RNA
Rfam family: Bacterial small subunit ribosomal RNA
Source: RNAcentral
GCAAGUCGAACGCUUCGGCGUGGCAAACGGGUGCGUAACACGUACUUACCUGCCCUGGAGUGGGGGAUAACAUCGGAAACGGUGAUAAUCCGCCAUAAUCCCUACGGGGGAAAGAUUUAUCGCUCUAGGAGGGGGGUGCGGUCUAUUAGUUAGUUGGUGAGGUAACGGCUCACCAAGACGAUGAUGGGUAGCUGGUCUGAGAGGAUGAUC